RNAcentral lists this ribosomal RNA (253 nucleotides) under uncultured bacterium. RNAcentral's name for it is "partial 16S ribosomal RNA". It matches the Rfam family "Bacterial small subunit ribosomal RNA", at positions 524 to 776 of the family's 1533-position model. The record is from RNAcentral.
UACGUAGGGUGCAGGCGUUAAUCGGAAUUACUGGGCGUAAAGCGUGCGCAGGCGGCUCCUUAAGUCAGAUGUGAAAUCCCCGGGCUUAACCUGGGAACUGCGUUUGAAACUGGGGAGCUGGAGUGUAGAAGAGGGGGGUGGAAUUCCAGGUGUAGCAGUGAAAUGCGUAGAGAUCUGGAGGAGCACCGAUGGCGAAGGCAGCCCCCUGGGCUAACACUGACGCUCAUGCACGAAAGCGUGGGGAGCAAACAGG